This 245-nucleotide long non-coding RNA is filed under the name Lathyrus oleraceus (garden pea). Its description in RNAcentral is "Pisum sativum (pea) long non-coding RNA (PSAT_LNC028439)". The record is from RNAcentral. Lineage: Eukaryota; Viridiplantae; Streptophyta; Magnoliopsida; Fabales; Fabaceae.
AAGAAAACAAAGUGAUCCUCGUGCUAGUCUGAGAUGAUAGGUUGAGAUGAUUUGAGGUAAAAAAAUUGGUUAUGAAUUGUGUUUCUUUGAGAGGAAUUUUAUUAUAAUUUUGAUGUUUGAUUGUAAGAUUUUGAUGGAUAUGGCCAUGAAUCGUGCAUUCUAUUUGUGGCCGGAUGCUAAUUUGAUUUUUUUUUAAUUAAAUUGAAUUGUUACGUAUGUGUGUCUGAGCAUGUUAAUGAUUAUGG